CCAGACUCCUACGGGAGGCAGCAGUGGGGAAUAUUGCACAAUGGGGGAAACCCUGAUGCAGCGACGCCGCGUGAAGGACGAAGUAUUUCGGUACGUAAACUUCUAUCAGCAGGGAAGAAAAUGACGGUACCUGACCAAGAAGCCCCGGCUAACUACGUGCCAGCAGCCGCGGUAAUACGUAGGGGGCAAGCGUUAUCCGGAUUUACUGGGUGUAAAGGGAGCGUAGACGGCCAUGCAAGUCUGAUGUGAAAACCCGGGGCUCAACCCCGGGACUGCAUUGGAAACUGUGCGGCUGGAGUGUCGGAGAGGCAAGUGGAAUUCCUAGUGUAGCGGUGAAAUGCGUAGAUAUUAGGAGGAACACCAGUGGCGAAGGCGGCUUACUGGACUGUAACUGACGUUGAGGCUCGAAAGCGUGGGGAGCAAACAGGAUUAGAUACCCGAGUAC
RNAcentral lists this ribosomal RNA (445 nucleotides) under uncultured bacterium. RNAcentral describes it as "bacterial SSU rRNA". It matches the Rfam family "Bacterial small subunit ribosomal RNA", at positions 331 to 793 of the family's 1533-position model. The record is from RNAcentral.